UUGGACUGUUUUGGGACUGUUUUUGUCAAGUUUUUGUUUUCGUUUUCGCAAAUUAAUUCGCAAGGCUGACGUUUGAUUGCGAAUUUUCAAGUACGCUUGUGGGCGAACUUUUGGGUCUUUUGGCCGAUUGUUGACUGUUGUUGUGCCGAAUUAUGGCGACUGUCGGCGUCGGCGGUUGCCGGUGCUUCAAGAUUUAUAUGGUGCGGCUCCCACAUGUACAUUUUGCACUUUGACAUUUUAUGCACUCAUCUCGAGGAGCGCUUUAUUCGACCUUCGUUGCAUCGAAGCCAGUGAGAGGCUUUGGCCCAGUUUGCAGCCGAAUUCUACAGUCUAUUUUGAGCAAUAGCAUUGAAUUGGAACAUUGAUUGACCUUCAAGACUUCACUGAAUAAUAUCAAUAAUAUUCAGCUCCCUCCUCCCUCGAGUCAGACGGAUGGAGUUUUGCUAUUGUGGACAAGGCUGUGUCGGACGUCAUGGACACACCUGCUCUUGUGGACGGUUGAAUCAGACUUGAAAUCCUUUCACAAAACUUUGCAUGGAUGAGAUUCAUAUGGUCAGAGUACAAAUCGAGGAGAAACCCAUCGGAAGUGAAGCAAAAUUGACCAACAAGACUGCCAAACGCCGGGUUGCCUGUGCUACAAGAUUGGCCUAACGUCCACAAUAGUAGCGACAAGUUUAUGAGAUCUUGAAACUAGUUCUCAAACUGGAUAAAGAAUUGCAAGAACUCAAAACUAAAUUGGAAGAGCUCAAGAAGAGAGGAUGAUUUCAAGACUGACAGGUGUGGUGAUUUUUAAUAAGUAUGACGAUUCACUUGGUGGGAUCUGAGAUGCGAUGUUGAAAAUAGAUGGCAGAUUUAAUUAUUUUUUCCGGAAAUAAUAUUGCAAGGCCUCUAAAAAGAUUAACAAAAUAAAUAUUUAAAUUGAGUUAAAUUGCCACAAGUUUUAGCCUCCUUUGUGUCCCAUA
Long non-coding RNA from Neocloeon triangulifer, 962 nucleotides. RefSeq lists it as uncharacterized. The transcript has 4 exons. NCBI's taxonomy places the organism in Eukaryota, Metazoa, Arthropoda, Insecta, Ephemeroptera, Baetidae. The record is from RefSeq and is a predicted model, not a curated record.